RNAcentral lists this ribosomal RNA (253 nucleotides) under uncultured bacterium. Its description in RNAcentral is "partial 16S ribosomal RNA". It matches the Rfam family "Bacterial small subunit ribosomal RNA", at positions 524 to 776 of the family's 1533-position model. The record is from RNAcentral.
UACAGAGGGUGCGAGCGUUAAUCGGAAUUACUGGGCGUAAAGCGUGCGUAGACGGUAAUGUAAGUCAGAUGUGAAAGCCCCGGGCUCAACCUGGGAAUGGCCGUUGAAACUGGCGAACUGGAGUGUGGCAGAGGGGGGUGGAAUUCCUGGUGUAGCGGUGAAAUGCGCAGAUAUCAGGAGGAACACCAAUGGCGAAGGCAGCUCGCUGGGACGGUACUGACGCUGAGACGCGAAAGCGUGGGGAGCAAACAGG